AGCUUUGUUUUGUGCAUUAACGUGACUAGUUAGGAUUCCAUAGAUAUUUCUCUCACAGCUACAGACUCUUUUCUUGCUUUAUUGCUGUUGGGGGAGGAGAAAAGACAUGCCGGCGAUUCUCCUCGUGAUAAGGUGAGUAAACCUUGUGUCCGAGUCAGUGGGGAGAAUCAGGGAAGGUCUUGAUUUCGUUCAUAACAAGUAUAGUCGCAAGGAUUAUUUAUUAUAUGUUGUGGUGCAUACUGAUAUUAUUCUGAUUUUGGCAGCGUUUUGUUGGGCUUAGAGAGGAUGCAAACUGAUAUGCCAGGAGACUGUAUACCUAAUAUUUCAUGUAACU
RNAcentral lists this long non-coding RNA (334 nucleotides) under Salvia miltiorrhiza (redroot sage). RNAcentral's name for it is "long non-coding RNA (SMIL_LNC005869)". The record is from RNAcentral. Lineage: Eukaryota; Viridiplantae; Streptophyta; Magnoliopsida; Lamiales; Lamiaceae.